This is a non-coding RNA of Peromyscus maniculatus bairdii (prairie deer mouse), 2143 nucleotides long. The record is from RefSeq and is a predicted model, not a curated record. NCBI's taxonomy places the organism in Eukaryota, Metazoa, Chordata, Mammalia, Rodentia, Cricetidae.
AUGGCAACUGGGAACAGCCCCUUCCUUUUUCCUUAGCAACAGGGUAACAGUUCCUCCACCCUGACUCGUCCAAGAAGGAACAAGCCUUUACUUCCCGAUCCCGUCGUAGCGGGAUGAUGGGGUCUUUCUUACCGGUUCAGCAAAGGCAAAAAGAAGAGACUACUUCUUCUCUUUGGCCGAUAUGGAAGGACUGAAGCCGGGUUUGAUGGCCUCUCUUGCUUUAUGGCUUCCAGUUGCAGUCUGUUACUCAAAUCUUUACCUCAGUCAAGCAUCCCUUUGAGCCUCCCGCGAGGAAGCCCGCACCUUUACCCCGAAGUCGAGCUAACAGAAUGGGCAUUGAUACACAUAUUUGAGGGUUUUGUUUAUUUGCCGCUGAUGUUGAUUGAGACAGGUCCUCCGAGCAGCCUGGUAAAUUACAGGCUCACACCUAUAAUUCUAGAACUUGGGUGGUGGAAUCAGGAGGGACUGCCAAAAGUUCAAGGUCAUUCCUGGGCCACAGAGUGACAUCCUCUCUCGGCAACAACAAAACAAAAACAAAAACAAAAGACAGGGACUCUUUUCUGUAGCCUGGUGGCCUUGAACUCACCAUCUUUGAUCUGCUAUCCCUUGAGUAUUGGCCAACCAUAUAGUCCCUUUCCCAGUGCAUUUGCUGACAGCUCUUGUUCCUCCCCCUGGCCCACUAGCUGGUGUAGAUUCUGUUCUUCACAGCCAGGUCCUUCUUUGACAUACCCAUUCACGUUCCCAAAUUCCUUGUUCCAAGUCUGCUUUGAGGGAGCUCCUCAGUUUGGGAUACAUCAUCUCCUUCCUCCCAACGCCUGCAGUCCUUGGCCCACACUGCUCUCUCCAGGGCCUUGUGCUUAACACCAUUGAGAUUUCAUGGUUCUCUUUGUGCAGGGGUCUUCUGUCUCCCCAUCACCCAGCCCUGACUCCCACGGAUGGUCACCUCUGAACCCACCUCGUAUCCACCUUCUUUGUUACACGCAUCUUACAGCGCCAUCCUUUGUUUACACUUCUGUCUCCCUAGCCAGACUAUGCAUCCUGGUGGGCAGGAAUUCUGUCUUAUUCAUCAGCCUCCUCGGCAUCUGGCAUCACGCACGGAAUGUGACACAUAGAAGAAUCCCACGAGCUGUGUAUGUAAUUGACUCAAGCAAGACAAAGGUCCUUCCCAUGUCAAUGCCGCUCCACACCUAUGAAAAUAACUACUUGGAGUUGCACGAGCUAGCAGCUGUUUCACGGCUGAGACUUAAGCUGUGGGGUGCUCUCUCCUCAGGUUUAUCAAGCUGGACACUUAGAUCUUGGAAGUUGUUUGUCUGUCUUACACUUAAACAUUUGAGAAAAAGACGUCGAGGAAACAGAAUGUCUUGCAUACAGGGUUGUUCCAUAAACUUAACUCUGCCUCCCUCCUCCUUCUUCUUCUUAAAUUUCCUCGUACAGUUUUCUAAAGCAAUGAUCUCAUUUCAUCAUUAAGCUAGACAGCCAAAGGACAUCCAAAUAUUCCCUACACUUAUCUCCUGGAGGACAAAACCGACCCUGGCUGGGAGCCACUGGGCUGGAUGAGCAACUUCAGUCCGAGGGUAUAGAAGGGAACCCCACUUUGCUCACGCCAAGUAAUCCAGUAUGAUUCCCCAAAGCAAUGGCUUUGCUUGAUGAACAGAACUGGGAUACCAGUUCUCAGGACCAUGCCGCCAGAUGAACGUGUUGUAUCCGAAGAACAGAAUUACAAAUGGAAGGCAGCAUUCCUUUAUUGCCUCUGGUACCAAUUCCUGGGAGUUUCACAGCCACAGUGCAGGUGUCAAGGAGGAAUUACAAAGUGUUCCGAGGAAAGACAUCACUAGGCCACGUCGCAGAUGGUUUACUCAUGGAGACCUGUUGUACAUCUGAACAGCAGUCCCACAUAGCAACUCUUAAGAUACCCACAAUGGGCCUGAAGUUCCUCUUCUGGGCCACCAGGAAUUCUUUCAGAUGACCCACUACCACAAGAGCAGACCUUGCCCAGACCUCCCGGGCAAGGUCUGGGCUGCCACCGGAUCAGAGUGAUGGAUCAAAGCUGUUUCUCCUAGCAACCGAAGCGCCACACAGCCGCUGUCUGUUGAGGAGGCUUUUCUGCCGGGCUCCUUCUUGAAUAAACACAACAGAGGCCGAG